CUGAGGUGGCCUAGCCUGGUAGGGCGGUAGCCUGGAAAGCUAUUGUGUGUAAGCACGCGCGAGUUCGAAUCUCGUCCUCAGCACCA
Molecule: transfer RNA, 86 nt
Filed under: Promethearchaeati archaeon
Lineage: Archaea; Promethearchaeati
Description: Asgard group archaeon (marine sediment metagenome) tRNA-Ser
Rfam family: tRNA
About the family: Transfer RNA (tRNA) molecules are approximately 80 nucleotides in length.
Source: RNAcentral